This 1630-nucleotide long non-coding RNA is filed under the name Monodelphis domestica (gray short-tailed opossum). RNAcentral describes it as "lncRNA (ENSMODG00000035339.2)". Lineage: Eukaryota; Metazoa; Chordata; Mammalia; Didelphimorphia; Didelphidae. The record is from RNAcentral.
CAAUUCUAAAAACAGGCAUGGCUCAAAGAACUCCUUGCCUCAUUAUAAGUAUGGGUCUAAGUACUUUCAUUGUUUAGCAAGGAGUUUUCUCCCCUAAAGUAGUCUUAAGUACGGGUGGAGUAGAGGUCCUCCCAUUUCUGAUCCUGGCGAGUUCUCACAUCAAAAUGGGGAAUGUUCCCAGUAGGGAAUUGUUCCAAUUGAGAAUUCCCCGAUGGGGAAAUUUUUAACAUUCGCAAGUCUGAGAAAUUUCAAGAUUUACAAUGGAGAGUGAUAAUGUAUAAGAAGACUGGAAAGAUAUGAUGCCAGUGUGUGAAAGAACUUUAAAACCAAACAAAAGAGUUUGUAUUUGAACUCAGAGAUUGUAGGAAGUCAUUGGAAUUUAUUAAGUGAAGAAAGAGGAAAUGAUCUGAUCUGAUCUGUGAUUUAUGAAAAUCAGUUGAGAAAUCAUCAUGUGGAGGAUGGAAUGGAAUGAGAAGAGCUUAGAGGCAGUUAGGUGGCAAUUGUAAUAGACAAGUCAAAGAGAAUGAAGACCUGAACUAAAAUGGUGAAUGGAGAAAUAGAGAUGGAUGCAAGAGAUGAUAUGGCUUUCUGGGGCAUCAUGAUUUAAGGAAGACUUCAAGUAAAAGAAGGAAUUUUAAUUGGAACUUAAAGGAAGCCACGGAGGUCAAUAGCUGGAGUAUGAGAAGACCAUUUCAGUCAUGGGUCAGGCAGAGAAAAUGCCCAGAGAGAUGCAGUGUCUUGUCUGUGGAACAGCCAGGUAGCCAGUGCCAUUGGAUCAAAGAGUAUAUCAGGAGGGCAAAGUAUAAGAAGACUGGAGAGAUUCCAGUGAAGAUAAAACCACUACAAAAAAUCAGUGCUAUAUUUUCUAAAUCAGAAGAUGCCUAUGAGAGGGAACAGCCUUGAAGUAGCCCUGGAUUUGGAGUCAGAGGACUUAAAACAAAAGACUGUGAUGUAGUAGUGUGGAAGAGGCAUGCAAGCAAAAGACAAGAAGCUGGAAAUUGAUCAGCUGUCAAUCAAAGGAAAUUUCCAUUUGGAAUGUGACUGGAAAAGCAGUUUGGAGCCAAGCCAAUGGUGACUUCCACAGUAGGCAGUGGGAAGGGUACUGAACUGGAGGUUAGGAUAUCUAGGUUCUAGUAUGAGUUCUACCACUGAGCGGCUGUGUGGCUUUGUUCAAGGUACUUCCCUUCUGGGACAUCAGUCUUGUGACCCUGAACAUUAGGGGCUUGGAUUACAUAAUUUCUUAGGUGCCUUCUAGGUGUGCCAUUUUGAGCCUCCAGGUUUAAUUAAAGAACCUUUUCAACUACUUCUGUUAAGCCUUUAUAACUUCUGGAUUGCUGUUGUUGUUGACAAUAAUUAGCUCUUAAAAAUUAUUUGUAGAAAAGUUAUUAUUUCUUCCUCAAAACUGGGAAGGAGUUAGGGAGAAAAUGUUUGGUGUUCCAGGGAAUGGGGUGGAGGGAAUACAUGAGUAGAUAGUAAACAAAAUAUCCAAUGUCCACAAAAGAGCAGGACAAUAAGCAAAUUCAUUAAUUAAACUUUGUGAAUUCCUCCAUUCAUAAGGCUGACUAUUUGCUUAAUUUAGACUAUCUGCCUUAAUCAUCGGUUUUACCACAUGAAAAUAUUUGAAGAGUCA